Molecule: long non-coding RNA, 522 nt
Filed under: Triticum aestivum (bread wheat)
Lineage: Eukaryota; Viridiplantae; Streptophyta; Magnoliopsida; Poales; Poaceae
Description: long non-coding RNA (TAES_LNC014519)
Source: RNAcentral
AGGUAAUUCGUGAUAACAGUAGUUUGCAUCCAGCAAUACAGGAUUGAAGCUAGCAACUUGUUGGUGGCUUUGAUAGCAACUACAAUCAAAGUUAUAGGUAUGUUCGGACAAAUGAGAUGCUUCAUGAAGGAAUCAGUAAUAGCAGUACUUCAUGAACUUUUUGUGGCUGUGAAUUAGCAAAUACAAGCGAAGUUAUAGGAUGUUUUGACAAAUGAGAUGCUUCAUGAAGGAGUCAACAGUAGCAGUACUUCAUGCCAGCUACAUGCAAUCAACAACCAAUAACAUAUUAAAAUUUUAGUCGCUUGUUUUCUUACAAGUGAUGGUUGAACAACAUUAAGUGUUGAGGAUACCAGCGAGGCAUUCAUGGAAUUGUGGGUUGAAAUGAAUUUUUAAGUAUUGGAGCUCUGCUUGUAGAUGGUGCUAAAAUUAUGUGACAUUGUAUGUUUAGUGAAUGGUAAUUUUUAAUUUCAUGUUAGACUUAUACUAGAUUCCAGGAAGUCUUUUUUAAUUCUUAAACUUCAG